Molecule: non-coding RNA, 45 nt
Filed under: Schistosoma mansoni
Lineage: Eukaryota; Metazoa; Platyhelminthes; Trematoda; Strigeidida; Schistosomatidae
Source: RNAcentral
AUCCAGCUGAAGAGUCCAAAAUAGGACGAAACGCGCAUCCUGGAU